This 241-nucleotide ribosomal RNA is filed under the name uncultured bacterium. Its description in RNAcentral is "partial 16S ribosomal RNA". It matches the Rfam family "Bacterial small subunit ribosomal RNA", at positions 524 to 764 of the family's 1533-position model. The record is from RNAcentral.
UACGUAGGCAGCGAGCGUUGUUCGGAAUUACUGGGCGUAAAGAGUGUGUAGGCGGUGCUCUAAGUUCGGUGUGAAAUCUCCUGGCUCAACUGGGAGGGUGCGCCGGAAACUGGAGUGCUUGAGCGUGGGAGAGGAAAGCGGAAUUCCUGGUGUAGCGGUGAAAUGCGUAGAUAUCAGGAGGAACACCUGUGGUGUAGACGGCUUUCUGGACCAUAGCUGACGCUGAGACACGAAAGCGUGG